This 1073-nucleotide long non-coding RNA is filed under the name Fukomys damarensis (Damara mole-rat). RNAcentral describes it as "lncRNA (ENSFDAG00000028386.1)". Lineage: Eukaryota; Metazoa; Chordata; Mammalia; Rodentia; Bathyergidae. The record is from RNAcentral.
GUGACACACGCGUGUGCACGCAGGUGUCCCCGCAGCCCAGCCACACCGCCGGGAGGAAGUGGGUGCGAAUGGGCUGCGCGUUGCCCUGAGCGCUGAGGCAGGAGGAUCUCCGGGGUUUGAGGCCAGCUUGGGCUGCAGAGCGAGACCCUGCCGGAGCGCGGCAGGUAAUGAGUCAAAAAUAAAAGCUGCUGCUUACGUACUGACGAAGGGCAGAGCAGCAGAGGCAGGGUAACACACACGCCACGUGUCACACAUACGACACGAGUACUCAAGGAUCCUCUCACGUCCCCGAGACCCGGGCAUCUGGGCCACGCUCCCAUCACAGGCUCCAGAGAGACCUCCUGCCUCUGCCUCCUCCGAGGGAGACCCUCCUGCCUCUGCCUCUCCUCCGAGGGAGACCCUCCUGCCUCUGCCUCCCCUCGGGGCUCCAGGAGACCCUGGGCCGCAGCCCCACUGCUCCAGUCCCUGCCUGCGUCUUCAUGUGGCUGCUGCUCUGUCUCUCCUGAGGACGCUGCCGCUGGAGACGAGAGGCUGAGGCAGGGCGGCCUGUCUCCACACGCUGCUCCGAUCCCCCCGGCAGGGACUGUGCCCCCACCCGAGGCCCGCCCCGAAGCAGGCAGCCAUGACACCAUGACCUACUGCCUGAACAGCAAGUCGCCUGUGUCCCGCACGCAGUCUCGGCUGCUGCACUUCCUGAACAAGGCGGCCCCCUGCAUCACUGGGCCGGUGGUGCUCAAGUGGGCGGUCACCCAGGUAGGAGGUCCUGGGGGGUCUCGUGUGCCGAGCCAGUGGGUGGUGUCAGAGGCUUUCCUAGAGCAGCCGCGGGUGAGAAAGGUGGUCUUGGUGGCUUGAGCCCAUCCCAGCACUUGGGAGGCUGAGGCAGGAGGAUCUCCACGAGUUCCAUGUACGUAGUGAGUUCAGCCUGAACUACAGAGCAAAACCCCGUCCCCGUCCCGCGGGUUUUUGCAGGAUGACGCGAUGUCCCGAGGAGGCGCCCUUUAGUCUUAUUUUAGACGGGGUCUCCCAAAGCAGUCCAGGCUGGGCAGGAGCGCGGGGCCCGCCGCCCGGGUCAG